Arachis ipaensis is the source of this 4808-nucleotide non-coding RNA. NCBI's taxonomy places the organism in Eukaryota, Viridiplantae, Streptophyta, Magnoliopsida, Fabales, Fabaceae. The record is from RefSeq and is a predicted model, not a curated record.
UAGUAUACUGCUAGUAAAGAAGCUGAUCUAAACCCCUCCCCCACCAAAAAACGCAAUUUUCCUUUUUCGCCCUCAUUUGCAUUCAUCUAAUCUUUCCAAACUCAAUUUUAUUCUCUCUUUCUUCCUCUCUGAGAAUCAGAAUCCAUCUUAGGAUUCUCUAAUUUAAAUCCUCGAUUAUUUUAAUUAUUUUUUUUUUUUAAAUAUUUGCUCUUCCUUCUGAAAUCUUGACAGUUAAAGCUUCCAAAUUUGGUCAAAUUGGGGGGAAAAGAAGAUGCAGAACAACAUCUUCACUUCGAUUCGGAGCUUGAAGAUCAUCGACGCUUGUAAAGGCACUCAGGUCCACGUGCUUGAUACUUCUCCCUCCGCCGCCGGAGCCUCCGCAGACGGUGGCGGCGUUGAGAAUCUUCAUCACCAGCACCUCCUUCACGAUCAAGCCAAAGCCCACACCCAAACCAAACAGGGUCGGAGCUUCCAAACCACAACAGCAGCAUCAACAAAGGCAGCAGCAUGCGAUGUCGUUUUGGAGAGCCUCCUCCUUCUUCCUCACGGCCUGCCUACCUCUGAGCUUCUAGAACCUUCCAUCGAGCCUUCUCUGAAGUCCCUCGAUUUCGUGAAAACGCUUGCCGAGGUUUAUCGGAGAGUCGAGAAUUGUGACCAAUUGGCGAAAUCGGAGGCGUUUUUGGAGGAGGCAGCUAUUUUCCGUGGGCUGCAGGACCCCAAGCUGUUCCGGCAGAGCCUCCGGUCGGCGCGGCGGCAUGCUGUAGAGGUGAACGACAAGGUUGUGCUCUCGUCGUGGCUUCGGUACGAGAGGAGAGAGGACGAGCUCGUUGGAUCGUCGGCAAUAGAUUGUUGUGGAGGAAACCUUGAAUGCCCCAGGUCAAGCUUAAUUCCAGGCUAUGAUCCUGAGUCAGUGUUAGAUCGGUGUUCAUGUUCGGGUAGAGAAGUUAUUGGUAGUGAUGAUAAAGAGCUUUUAGAGGAAUGUUCAACUUCCAAUGAUGAUGUUGAAUUGUGGUUUUGCAUUGGUGAUAGUGAAAUUAGGUGUAGGAGACACUGUAUGGCAUCACUUUCGAGGCCGUUUGAGGCAAUGUUGCAUGGCGAAUUCCUCGACUCUAGGAGGGAGAAGAUAAACUUCUCAAUGAAUGGGAUUUCUGUUGAGGCAAUGGAGGCUGCUGAGGUUUUUAGUAGGACUAGGAGGCUGAAUGGGUUUACACCUAAUGUUGUUCUAGAGUUGCUUUCAUUUGCAAACAAGUUUUGCUGUGAUGAGAUGAAGUCUGCGUGUGAUGCUCAUCUGGCUUCUCUGGUGUGUGGCAUGGAUGAUGCCAUGUUGCUGAUUGACUAUGCGCUAGAGGAGGCCGCGCAUCUGCUUGUGGCAGCUUGUUUGCAGGUUUUUUUGAGAGAGCUACCCAGUUCGAUGCAGCGUGCAAAUGUUGUUAAAUUGUUUUGUAGUCCAGAGGGUAGGGAUAGAUUGGCUAUGGCUCGGCAUGCGUCAUUUUUGUUGUAUUAUUUUUUAAGCCAGGUUGCAAUGGAGGGAGAGUUGAAGUCUGAUAAGACUGUGAUGCUAUUGGAAAGACUAGGAGAGUGCGCAGUGAAAGGUUGGCAGAAGCAGCUAGCUUAUCACCAAUUAGGUGUUGUAUUGCUUGAGAGGAAAGAAUACAAGGAUGCACAGCGUUGGUUUGAGGCUGCCGUUGAGGCAGGACAUAUUUAUUCAUUAGUUGGUGUUGCAAGGGCCAAGUAUAAGCGUGGUCACACAUAUUCAUCGUACAAGAUGGUAAACUCGCUUAUUUCUGAUUAUAAACCAGUUGGCUGGAUGUAUCAAGAAAGGUCUUUGUAUUGCAUUGGGAAGGAGAAAAUGGCAGACUUGGUCGCUACCACUGAAUUAGAUCCAACUCUUUCAUUUCCAUAUAAAUACCGGGCUGUUUGUUUGCUGGAGGAGAAAAAUAUCGGAGCUGCCAUUUCGGAAAUCAAUAAAAUAAUUGGAUUCAAGGUUUCUCCAGACUGCCUUGAAUUCAGAGCAUGGUUCUUGAUUGCUGUCAAGGACUAUGAAGGGGCUCUACGAGAUGUCAGGGCAAUCUUGACAUUGGAUCCAAACUAUAUGAUGUUCCAUGGGAAUAUGCGUGGUGACCACUUGGUAGAGCUCCUCCGCCCUGUUGCUCAGCAGUGGAGCCAAGCUGAUUGCUGGAUACAGUUGUAUGAUAGAUGGUCUUCUGUUGAUGAUAUUGGUUCUUUGGCUGUUGUACAUAAGAUGUUAGAAAAUGACCCUGGGAAAAGUAUUUUACGUUUUCGGCAAUCUCUCCUCCUGUUAAGGUUAAAUUCUCAAAAGGCAGCCAUGCGUAGCUUACGCCUAGCUAGAAAUCAUUCCACUUUUGCACAUGAAAGACUUGUCUAUGAAGGAUGGAUAUUGUAUGAUACCGGUUGUCGUGAAGAGGCAUUAGCCAAGGCUGAGGAGUCCAUUUCUAUACGAAGAUCAUUUGAAGCUUUCUUUCUCAAAGCUUAUGUAUUAGCUGACUCAAGUCUUGAUUCUGAGUCGUCAAAGUGUGUGAUCGAUCUCUUGGAGGAAGCUCUUAGAUGUCCUUCAGAUGUCCUUCGUAAAGGACAAGCACUAAAUAAUUUAGGGAGUGUUUACGUAGAUUGUGAAAAGCUGGACCUUGCUGCCAACUGCUACUUGCAUGCCCUCGAUAUCAAGCAUACACGAGCACAUCAGGGUUUGGCACGUGUAUAUCAUCUUAAAAAUCAGAACGAAGCUGCAUAUGACGAGAUGACAAAGCUAAUUGCAAAGGCCCAAAACAAUUCAUCAGCUUAUGAGAAGCGUUCAGAAUAUUGUGAUCGUGAUAUGGCAAAGAAUGAUCUUAACAUGGCAACACAGUUGGAUCCUCUACGGACUUAUCCUUACAAAUAUAGGGCAGCAGUUUUGAUGGAUGAUCACAAGGAAGAUGAAGCAAUAGUGGAGCUUUCAAGGGCCAUCAAUUUCAAGCCAGAUCUGCAACUUUUGCAUCUUCGAGCAGCAUUUUAUGAUUCAAUGGGUGAUUAUGCUUCUACUGUCCAGGAUUGUGAAGCUGCCCUUUGUCUUGAUCCUGGCCAUUCUGAGACAUUAGAUCUCCGCAAUAAAGCACGAGAGCAAAUUAAUGAACAAAAGUGAGAGAAUCACAGAUCAAUAAUCAGGUUUUCCUUGUUCUCUAGGUUGCAUUUGGUUAGUGUAAAAUAUGUGGACACAAAAUAUGUGGACAUGGUAGGACACAAAUAUCUUUGGUGCACUAAGGAAGAGAUAGAGUGAGUGAGAGAGACAGUGGGACUGAAAUACAGUCUUGAGAGUCCAUGUCAGAAGGAAGGCCACUAACAUUGUUAUCUUCAGUGUCUCAAUGUCUCAUUGUCCUGUUCAACCAUAAAGGGGCAAUACUAUUCUUGUUGACCUGCACCAUUUUACACCUAACAGCCUGGUAAUCAUCAAUUCUAUUUAUCUAUUGAAUGGUCUCUAGAAAGAGUACGGUCUAUAUAUAUCGUUCUCAUAGGCUGGCCUUCUAGAUGCAGAAUACAGAAGGAAAAGAGAAUUUAGAGACAUAAUUUGGAUCGAUUGAAACUGAAUGGAAAGUAGGGGAGCAAACAGCUGCUGCUGUUGCUAUUCUUGACUAGGCCUCACCAGUAAGAAUGGUGAUAAAGUUUUAGACAAAACUUGUCUAUACAAGUCAAUUUGUCAUGUAAAAGAUUCAGUAUUUGCCACCAUAUUUUUGGCUGAGCAAUUGCCGAUUCACAUCAUGCUGUACAUCACUUAGUAUGUUACAAAGCACAAGUAUUCCAUUUUCAUGGGAGCAAGCCCCAGGCAAGCCGAAAAACCAAGAGAGGAGCAAUAACAUCCACGACCGAGAUGUAGAAACGCCUCGGCUCCAAUUACCACCUUGCCUUCAGCAUCUUCCAAGAGCAGCAGCUGAAGCUGACUUAGGUAAUGCUGUUCUUUCAUUUGAUCAAGAUGAUGGUUGUGAUGGUGAUGAUGACGACGAUGAUGACAAUGAGAACAAGAAGAAUAGUGAAGUUUAUUCAGAUGCUAUGGAACUUUUUUCUUUAUCAGAGGCAUUAGACAUUGUUGUCCAACAAUCAGAGACAAAUCACAGUAGCAGCAAUGAUGUGUUGAGAUUAAAGCUUUCAGAAUCUAAUGUUGAUCAAUGUUCAAGCUAUAUGAUUAAUCGCUUUCUCCCUGAUGCCACUGCAUUGGCAGCAUCAUCUUCUGCACAUUUUCCAAACAAUGGUUACAACAAGAAAGGUUGUGAUACUUGCAGUAAUUCAAGGCACUCAUAUGCUUCUUCUCCAAAGGGUUGUGGCCUUCAACUUCUGUUCCCUUGGCGUAUGAAGCACAAGCUUUGUGCUAUAAAGAGCCCUGUGAUGACAUGCUCCACAAAAGUGCAGAAGCAUCAGCAGAGUUUGAAAAACAAGAAGCAUUGUUCAUCAGUUCACAAGACUAGUAAAAGUAUCAAAGGAGAUAUUUGAAAGUAAUUUUUUUUUCUUUUCAUCAAAGUCUAGGUUUGCACUAAGCAUUUUACUAAUGUUAGGUUAUAUUUCUCGGCGCACUGAAUGUUUAGAGGUACAUAUAGAACACAAGAAAUGCUAUGUGCACAUAAAAAACCAGCUAUUAAAUCAGUUACUAUGUAUUUGUGUAUAAAUACAUGUAUUGUUCAACUUAUUUUUAAUGUGUAUUUUGUAUUUCAGCAUGUAUUUUAUACAGGUAACUAAUUUGGUGGCUGAUUUUUGUACACAUAGCAUGGUUGAUAAAGCAUACCGAAUUUCGCAUUGGUAGAGGAAAUUGAAUCUGUUUUCUUGUA